This 890-nucleotide ribosomal RNA is filed under the name Fulvifomes sp. SP-2012c. Its description in RNAcentral is "eukaryotic LSU rRNA". It matches the Rfam family "Eukaryotic large subunit ribosomal RNA", at positions 78 to 931 of the family's 3401-position model. Lineage: Eukaryota; Fungi; Basidiomycota; Agaricomycetes; Hymenochaetales; Hymenochaetaceae. The record is from RNAcentral.
CCCUAGUAACUGCGAGUGAAGCGGGAAGAGCUCAAAUUUAAAAAUUCUGGCGGCUUUUUCGGUCGUCCGAGUUGUAAUCUGGAGAGGCAUUUUCCGCGUUGGAACCGUGCACAAGUCUCCUGGAACGGAGCGUCAUAGAGGGUGAGAAUCCCGUCCAUGACACGGACCGCCAAUGCUGUGUGAUAUGCUUUCGAAGAGUCGCGUUGUUUGGGAAUGCAGCGCAAAACGGGUGGUAAAUUCCAUCUAAAGCUAAAUAUUGGCGAGAGACCGAUAGCGAACAAGUACCGUGAGGGAAAGAUGAAAAGCACUUUGAAAAGAGAGUUAAACAGUACGUGAAAUUGUUGAAAGGGAAACGCUUGAAGUCAGUCGCGUUCCUUGGAACUCAGCCUCGCCUUCGGGUUUGGUGUACUUUCCAUGUGAACGGGUCAACGUCAAUUUUGGCCGGUGGACAAAGGCGGGGGGGAACGUAGCGUCGCUUCGGCGACGUGUUAUAGCCCCUUGUUGUAUGCACCGGCUGGGAUUGAGGACCGCAGCACGCCCUUUUUUGUGGCCGUGGGCUCGCUCUACGUACCGUGCUUAGGACGUUGGCAUAAUGGCUUUAAGCGACCCGUCUUGAAACACGGACCAAGGAGUCUAACAUGCUUGCGAGUGUUCGGGUGGAAAACCCUUGCGCGUAAUGAAGGUGAAAGGUUAGGAGCCCCUCGAGGGGGGGUGCACUGACGCCCGGCCCUGAAGUUCUCUGACGGCGCUGCGGCAGAGCAAGCAUGUUGGGACCCGAAAGAUGGUGAACUAUGCCUGAAUAGGGCGAAGCCAGAGGAAACUCUGGUGGAGGCUCGUAGCGAUUCUGACGUGCAAAUCGAUCGUCAAAUUUGGGUAUAGGGGCGAAAGAC